AGCCUGCCGCGUGUGUGAAGAAGGCCUUCGGGUUGUAAAGCACUUUUAUCGGGGAGGAAGGCGAUGAGGUUAAUAACCUUGUCGAUUGACGUUACCCGCAGAAGAAGCACCGGCUAACUCCGUGCCAGCAGCCGCGGUAAUACGGAGGGUGCAAGCGUUAAUCGGAAUUACUGGGCGUAAAGCGCACGCAGGCGGUCUGUCAAGUCGGAUGUGAAAUCCCCGGGCUCAACCUGGGAACUGCAUUCGAAACUGGCAGGCUUGAGUCUUGUAGAGGGGGGUAGAAUUCCAGGUGUAGCGGUGAAAUGCGUAGAGAUCUGGAGGAA
RNAcentral lists this ribosomal RNA (323 nucleotides) under uncultured bacterium. Its description in RNAcentral is "bacterial SSU rRNA". It matches the Rfam family "Bacterial small subunit ribosomal RNA", at positions 390 to 706 of the family's 1533-position model. The record is from RNAcentral.